Molecule: non-coding RNA, 77 nt
Organism: Acanthosepion pharaonis
Lineage: Eukaryota; Metazoa; Mollusca; Cephalopoda; Sepiida; Sepiidae
Source: the annotation of a GenBank genome assembly
AAUCACCGCAGUUAAGCAACGUCGAGCCUGGUCAGUACUUAGAUAGGUGACCACUUGGGAUUAUCAGGUGCUGUAAG